Sorex araneus (European shrew) is the source of this 122-nucleotide small nuclear RNA. NCBI's taxonomy places the organism in Eukaryota, Metazoa, Chordata, Mammalia, Eulipotyphla, Soricidae. The record is from RefSeq and is a predicted model, not a curated record.
AUGUUUUGUGAAAGGAGAGAAAGUUAGCACUCUCCUAGCGAAGAUGGAAGAGGCUUUGACCUGCAACACACAUAUGAUUAAGGCACUGCCACCUACUUCAUGACAUCUAGCCAACAUUUUAA